Molecule: ribosomal RNA, 279 nt
Filed under: uncultured bacterium
Lineage: Bacteria
Description: partial 16S ribosomal RNA
Rfam family: Bacterial small subunit ribosomal RNA
Source: RNAcentral
UGCCAGCCGCCGCGGUAACACGGGGGGCGCAAGCGUUAUCCGGAUUUAUUGGGUUUAAAGGGUGCGUAGGCGGAAUAAUAAGUCAGUGGUGAAAUCCUGCGGCUCAACCGUAGAACUGCCAUUGAUACUGUUAUUCUUGAAUAUAGUUGAGGUAGGCGGAAUGUGUAAUGUAGCGGUGAAAUGCUUAGAUAUUACACAGAACACCGAUUGCGAAGGCGAUCUACUAAGCUACGAUUGACGCUGAGGCACGAAAGCGUGGGGAGCGAACAGGAUUAGAUA